This 468-nucleotide ribosomal RNA is filed under the name uncultured bacterium. RNAcentral describes it as "partial 16S ribosomal RNA". It matches the Rfam family "Bacterial small subunit ribosomal RNA", at positions 28 to 507 of the family's 1533-position model. The record is from RNAcentral.
GACGAACGCUGGCGGCGUGCUUAGCACAUGCAAGUCGAACGGAAAGGCCCUGCCUUUGUGGGGUGCUCGAGUGGCGAACGGGUGAGUAACACGUGAGUAACCUGCCCCUGACUUUGGGAUAUCUUCAGGAAACUGGGGCUAUUACCGGCUAGGAGCUCCUGCUGCUUGGUGGGGGUUGGAAAGUUUCGGCGGUUGGGGAUGGACUCGCGGCUCAUCGGCUUGUUGGUGGGGUAGUGGCUUACCAAGGCUUUGACGGGUAGCCGGCCUGGGAGGGUGACCGGCCACAUUGGGACUGGGAUGCGGCCCAGACUCCUACGGGAGGCAGCAGUGGGGAAUGUUGCACAAGGGGCGGAGGCCUGGUGCAGCAACGCCGCGUGCGGGAUGACGGCCUUCGGGUUGUAAACCGCUUUCGCCUGUGACGAGGCGUGAGUGACGGUAAUGGGUAAAGAAGCACCGGCUAACUACGUG